GUUGCUAUUGUGGGCGUCCACAACUUCACCGUGCCCCCCCCCCCCCCCCCCCCCCCCCCCCCCCCCCCCCCGCGCCCCCGCUCUCCGCCAUCAGCAAUCCCCGGUCACCCGCGCGCCACCGCUCUCCGCCAUCAGCGCCCGCUCUCCGCCAUCAGUGCUCCCCCGGUCCCUCACGCGCUCUCCGCCAUCGGCCACGUGAAGAUCCCCCGAAAACCUCCUCCACAUCAGCCCCCCCGGUCGCCCGCCGCCAUCAGCAUCUUCCACCUCGCCUGCGGCCGCGUCCCCCGCGCGCCCCCGCUCUCCUCCAUCUGCCGCGUGAAGCUCUCCCGAAAACCUCCUCCACAUCAGCGCCCCCCGCCAUGCCCCUGUAUCUCGCCUAGCACACGCCGCGCCCACGCAGGCAGCCGUGGAUCUCGCCCCCACCGUCGAGCUUCCAUGGUAGGCAUCCUCUUCCAUACUAGGCGGCCAUGGCAUGAACCCAUCCCCUAUCCGCGCCCCCAUCGCACGGGCCCUAAUCCUAGAAUGGUGCCUUCCUCCUUCUCUGUCGCCUCUGCCCUACUCAGACCUUCGAGACUUCCACUGGCGAUACACACCCACUAGGGAAUUCUUAGACCAACAUGAGGAGGAAGAAAUGCCUCAUGUUAUUAGUGUUACACCAGACGUACAAGAGGCCAUUGGACGGGAAUGAGGAGCUAUCUGCAAACUAUCUUCUUGAGCAAGCUGGUGAGGAAGAUUAAGCCAGAGUAGUUUUCGUAUGGGUACAAACAUAGCUUUGCGUCAAUCGAUGCCAGGCAAAUGUAGAACGCUUGGUAGCCGGUCAGCGCUAUGUGUAGAACACAUACUCCAGAGAUGAACAUGGAUCACGAGAACUGGAAUAAUUGCUGUCAGCUGCAUUGAAACAGGCAGAUCCUAUUAACAACUCCGCAUUGGCUCUCUGCCCCAGCCAUGGACCCAUGACAUCGGUGGUUUCGCGCACCUCAAAGACAUGGGUGGGGAGGCAUCGCGGCUGCUGCACGCCCUCUAGAGAAUGCUUAUCGAUCAUCAGGUGCAUUCAAUUACGCUUUCGGUUGCUGCAUUGAGAAAUGAAUCAGUCGAACUGUGAACCAACUACUUGAAAUUUCACGUGAUGUGGGGUAUAGUGGCAAUGCAUAAGCCCACAUGGAGCACUGGGUCUUCGAGGUGACACACUGACAUUGCAACUGAACACACUUGUCUAUGUGGCUAUGGCUACGGUAUACAUAGAGUCGUACAUUAGGUAGCUUAUUCAAUCAAAUAAUGUCCGGUUUUGUCAUGAAAGUGAUAAUAAUCUUCUAUAUAAACUUGGUCAAACGUAAGACAUUUCACUUAAAAUAAAACCAGAACGUCUCUCUUUUUCGGUGGAGAUAGUAUUAAUAUAAUUUCGAAAAUUCUGAUCUGCGAGUUGGUACUUUGAUAAUUCAAAUCCAUGUUGCCAAAAGCUAACUGAUAUAAUACUUUCUUCAACAGUAACUAUCAUACUAUCUGCAUCUUCUAUGAUCUAUUAAAGUACCUCACAAGAGAUCCAAUUAAUGAUUCACACCUGCAAGAUAACACCUGUAGUGGAAAUCCAGUUUUCUGGUGUGAGUCUAAAUAUUUCAGAAACAAUGAAAGCAUAGAAGAAAAUGCUGCAGUAGGACAAUACCUAAUUAUCAUGUGCAUGCCCCUAGACCCUCCAUUUUUCUCUUAGCGAGGAAGCAGAAAACCAAACUCAAAUACAAGAAAUAUUAGUCAAUACAAAGUGGCCAAAUUUCUCGAGACAGAAAAAGACAGGUGGGAUGUAGAAAGGGACUUAAAAGUUGAAACCAUUGGCCCCAUGUACUGCGGCAAAAUAUUUCUCUUCUUCUGGCAGUACAGUAGCUUGCAUCAUAUGUGACAUCCUCUUUAUAGUACAGGAAGUCAAGAAUAGCCCGAGUGCUCAGCACAUAUGCUACAUGCUCCCAACUACAUUACCCCUUCUUUGAAGUGGCGAGCAAAGCGAGAAGUUUGAGUGGGGCCCAAAACCUGAGUGGGGCCUAAAUAGAAACCUACUUACUAAUGGACCUUUAUAGCUACAAUGAAUAAGAUAAAAACUCCACUGAAACCAGAAAAUUGAGUGGGACCCCGUGCCCCAGUCAGCCCAACGUGAGCCUACCCUUGCUUCUCUGCUCAGACAUGCACAUAAACUGAAUUCGUCUCAUUUAUUUAUGUUUAAGGUGUGUCGUUUAUUCACUUGCUCCAGCUGCUGCUAUCACCCCAACCAAAUCAAUUUUGAAGGCCGAAUUAUCUAACAACAUUUCCAAAGGGAAUAUUUCAAGUUCACCUACACGGCCGCACCUUCUCCCGAACAACGUGGAGCAAGCAAUCAUUUCCUGUAGAAUAAUAUGCGAAUAAUGAAGUCAUAACACCUUUUGAUUUGAACAAAGGGAAAACAAUAAAUAUGAGAAAUAGGGUGCAAAUAAGAUGUCUAAUAAAGGUAUAAAUCGAAGACCAAGUUCUCAUGUUGCAAAUGUAGAUGAUAAUACAAAUGAAGUCUGGAGCUUACAGUUCUGCAGAGUUUGUUUAUUAAUCGAGGUUCUUUUAUUAAUGUUGAAGUUGUUGGAACUUUAGUUUGGCAGAGUUUGUUGCCUUUUCUUUUGGCUAUCAAACCUGUUUGUAUCUUUAUUGCUUUCAUCAAGUGGUAUUGUAUAUCGAACUUGUGCUUUGAUGAUUUCUCUUUUACCUUUUGAACAUAGGCAUAGGAACGGUUUUCUGAACUGGACCACAUUAGCAGGACAUCGUUAUGUUCGAUAGAUGCACAAAGCACUACUGGAUUCGAGGUUUCAGUUAAGGUUGAACAGUUCGACUCUGACACGUCAAGGCGCUAGAAGUUUGGACAAGAAGAAUUAUGAUCAUUAUAGUUUGGGGCAACCAAUAUCAUUAUUACGACAAUGGCUAGGGUCCAAAUGAUUCUCAUCUUCAAUUUUCGUAAUGAUUUGGUUAUAGAAUUACAAUUUUUUAUUGUCUUGAUAUUUUUUAACACUACCCUAAAUGGUUGAAUGGAUGCUAGAAUUAUGUCAAGAUUUUUCUGUGCCGUCGCAACACACGGGCACUGUACUAGUUCUAUAAUAUAUAGAUAUUUAGGACUGUAAUUGUACUCGCUAAACUUCACCGUAAAGCAGCUGUACAGGAAAUUAUAGAAUUUUAUGGAACACUCUUUUAGGCGUGGAACAGAAACCGAACCUAACUAACUAAAAAGUAUAGAAUGAAACUGAAAAAUAUAGAGUGGAUAAGUCAUAAACGUCUCCUUAGUAUAACGUGGCUCGAUACAGUGUUUAUUCAUCAAUCUUUUAGUUUUACAAAAAAGUCUAUAUAUACCGCAACUAUUUCUAACUAUGGUUUACUAAUCCUUGUUUGGAUCGACCCCAUAAAACUAGGCAACGUAUCAAGUGCAAACCAAUUUUUUGUGCAAAUACCAUACAAACUAACUAACAAAAGUCACAAAAAAUAUCAAAAAUGUUAUGAAUGUAUUUUAUUGCCUACUCUAUCAUUGUAUAAAAUUUUAAAUUCAAAUCCAUCAUAUAUUAAAACAUGCAAAAAAACAAAAUUCUGAGAUAAUUUUCACUUUUUUGUAUCUAAGAAUUUUCUCUUUUUUUGUAUCUCUUAACAUAUGAUGAAUUUGAACUUGAAAUUUUAUACAGUGGUAGAGUAGGUAAUAUAGUAGAUCUAUAAUCUUUUGAGAAUUUUUUGUAACUUUUGUUAGUUGGUUUGCAUGGAGUUUGCACGGAAACUUUGUUUGCACCUGAUACGUUGCCAUACAACUAAUAGGUGUUAGUUCAUAUUGUAACGAAAAUGGACUCCUACCCAUUUGUCUAAGUAAUUUUGGUGUUUGAUGAACAACGUAAUCAGUGAACUAAUGUUUUGCAGAUGUUUAUAUUUUAUAGUUCACAGGAUGCGAAGUGUAUUGGACUGUAAUACCCAAGUUGUAAAGAGAAAUAAAGGAGAUAAUUGUUCCUAUGUGAUUUGCCUCUAACAUUUUGAACAUAUGAAUAACCAUAUGUAAAAGUGAAUAAUUCUUUAAUAGAACCUAAAUAAGCCAUACAUCAUGCUGGAGUCUCUUUGUGUGUGCAUUUGGUAAUAAUAAUAAUAAUAAUAAUAAAGUUAAUAGAAACAUAUUAGUAGCUCAAUUAGAAAUUAAAGAUCUAAUUGGAAUUUUGGAAUACAAAACAAAUAGAUAAAAUAAUAUAUGAAUAAAUAUAUUCCUGCCCUAGGUUUUGAAUUUGUACAUUUAGCCCAAGGAGUGAAACUCAACCAAAUUUGAAUUUAAAAUUUGAAAUUCGAAAAUAGGAAGAAGGAAAAACAAAGAAAAAGGAAAAAUACUUACCCUACCCGCGCUUGGGCCUAUUCCUGAGUUCUCGGCCCACUUAUGCCAUCAUAGCGGUCCACGCGCGCGCCGCGUGCUCUGCGACUGACCGGCGGGCCCACUGGCCAGUGAACCGCGGGCGCUCGGGCGUGACUUCAAACACUGGGAACCAGACCCCACUGUUAGACUCCGUGCCCUCUCCCUCGAUCGCUCGCCGUGGAAAUCGGGCGCCGCGACCACUUCGCCGCGAAAUCCGCGGAACUGGGUAGACUAGACCACCCUUCUGGACCGGGUACAAAGGAAGCCCGGGCCCCUCUUUCCCCCUCCUAGCUUUUAACUUCCCUUACACAAUUGAAGCACCAGACCGAGGCAUAGGCGAGGGAGUCGGUGGGACUAUCCGCGGUGGAAUUCACCAGCCGUCACCUGCGCGCGGUCGACGUCGGUGUUUGGAGUUGGGGAACGGCGGGCGCAUCACGACACAUCGCUCGGUGGUCGAUGAUUGGGAGGAGGCGGCUCCGUACAGGCGGAAUUUCUCACCGUCGCUGGGAAAUCUCUGUGGACCGCACAACCACGUGGACAGAGCCGCUAUCGUCCCGAAUCCGGGAAGAACCAGUGACCGAGGAUCCAGGUGUUCAGCAGGUAGAAGUUGCUGAGCAGGAGCUCAUUGAAGGCAA
Zea mays is the source of this 5010-nucleotide long non-coding RNA. RefSeq lists it as uncharacterized. The record is from RefSeq and is a predicted model, not a curated record. Lineage: Eukaryota; Viridiplantae; Streptophyta; Magnoliopsida; Poales; Poaceae. The transcript has 6 exons.